GUCAGUGUUUGGUGGAGAAGGUCAGUGUUUGGUGGGGAAGGUCAGUGUUUGGUGGAGAAGGUCAGUGUUUGGUGGAGUGUUUGGUGGAGAAGGUUAGUGUUUGGUGGGGAAGGUCAGUGUUUGGUGGAGAAGGUCAGUGUUUGGUGGAGACGGUCAGUGUUUGGUGGAGAAGGUCAGUGUUUGGUGGUGAAGGUCAGUGUUUGGUGGAGAAAGUCAGUGUUUGGUGGAGAAGGUCAGUGUUUGGUGGGGAAAGUUAGUGUUUGGUGGGGAAGGUCAGUGUUUGGUGGAGAAAGUCAGUGUUUGGUGGAGAAGGUCAGUGUUUGCUGGGGAAAGUUAGUGUUUGGUGGAGUUUUUGGUGGAGAAGGUUAGUGUUUGGUGGAGUGUUUGGUGGGGAAGGUCAGUGUUUGGUGGGGAUAGUCAGUGUUUGGUGGAGAAGGUUAGUGUUUGGUGGAGAAGGUCAGUGUUUGAUGGGGAAGGUCAGUGUUUGGUGGGGAAGGUCAGUGUUUGGUGGAGAAGGUCAGUGUUUGGUGGGGAAGGUCAGUGUUUGGUGGGGAAGGUCAGUGUUUGGUGGGGAAGGUCAGUGUUUGGUGGAGAAGGUCAGUGUUUGGUGGAGAAGGUCAGUGUUUGGUGGGGAAGGUCAGUGUUUGGUGGAGACGGUCAGUGUUUGGUGGAGAAGGUCAGUGUUUGGUGGGGAAGGUCAGUGUUUGGUGGAGAAAGUCAGUGUUUGGUGGAGAAAGUCAGUGUUUGGUGGAGAAGGUCAGUGUUUGGUGGAGAAGGUUAGUGUUUGGUGGAGUGUUUGGUGGAGAAGGUCAGUGUUUGAUGGGGAAGGUCAGUGUUUGGUGGAGAAGGUCAGUGUUUGGUGGGGAAGGUCAGUGUUUGGUGGAGAAGGUCAGUGUUUGGUGGGGAAGGUCAGUGUUUGGUGGGGAAGGUCAGUGUUUGGUGGAGAAGGUUAGUGUUUGGUGGAGUGUUUGGUGGAGAAGGUUAGUGUUUGGUGGGGAAGGUCAGUGUUUGGUGGAGAAGGUCAGUGUUAGUGUGUUUAUGUGUGAAGUUUGUUGUUAUAUCUCGGUUCUGUGAUUGUGUCCAUGUUCUCUGCUUGGUGGAGAGCUCAGAGCUCCAGAUUCAUCAUUUCAGCAGCAGCAGCUCUGCAGAGCCUGACGUUUACCAUUUCACUCUCAGUCACAGCAGAACCAGAAACCAGAUCCUCUAAAUUGAGCUCGAUUGGUUGGACUGAAAGUGUUUAAAUAAAACAGAUCUGAGUGUGAGCGAGCGAGUGAGCGGGCGAGCGAGCGAGCAAGCAAGUGUGGCUGUCAAUCUGCGGUCUGGAACCGGACAGAGUUUCUGUUUUACUGACUAACAGAGGAACCUGCAGAACCUCAAAACUCAGCUCUGACAAGAGGAACCAGAAACAGGCCAAACCAAACCUCUCUCUCUCUUGCUC
Colossoma macropomum (tambaqui) is the source of this 1438-nucleotide long non-coding RNA. RefSeq lists it as uncharacterized. NCBI's taxonomy places the organism in Eukaryota, Metazoa, Chordata, Actinopteri, Characiformes, Serrasalmidae. The transcript is spliced from 3 exons. The record is from RefSeq and is a predicted model, not a curated record.